GAUUUUUUUAUGUGCAUGAGAGAUCAAAGUUCUGGGCCUCAGACAUUAACCUGUUUUUGAAAUGUUCAAUUGAAAUUAUGCCCUUUUUUCUCUUGUUUCUUUUUAUAAUUUUUCUUUCUUGCGGGUUGAGGAACAUUUAUGAAAAAAGAGAUACAGGCUAGUCAAAGACAUUGCCAUCGGUGAAAAAUGUCAGCUUCUGCCAUUCAAUUUAAGAUAUAUCCCCUAUUAAAUCAAAGUUUCCCAUGAAUAAUUUUAGGGUAAUCAAUGUUUUACUUAGUGCAUAACUGCAUAUGUAUUUUUAAAUAUG
Molecule: unclassified non-coding RNA, 307 nt
Filed under: Hevea brasiliensis (rubber tree)
Lineage: Eukaryota; Viridiplantae; Streptophyta; Magnoliopsida; Malpighiales; Euphorbiaceae
Source: RNAcentral